GUAAGGCCUAAAAAAGGAGUUUCGACAUUCCAGAAACAGUUCUGGUCAAAGAUCAAUAUACAUCUAAGAAAUGGCUCGUUACGUUGAGCAGUUUGUUUAUCGACACCUCUAGAGCACAUGUCAAACAUCUGUUUUUCAGGAACAAGGAAUCCAUUGAGAUCAUUCCUAACCCCAAGACAUUAUUACAAGAUGGCAAAAUCCAAUGGAUUCCAAUGAUCUUUGUGGGAUUCCACUGAAGAGGCGCCGAUCUGAACUUCGUGAGGACUUUGAUGUGAAUAAGUGCAUCAUUUGUCAAAAAGACACGGGUAACCAACAUGCAGAAAUCCAGGAUCGCAGAAGAUCUUCACAGAAGCCGCAAAAAUUCGAAAGGACAUUGUUUCCGAGAGACUAGAAAGGGUUGAUCACGAUA
Molecule: long non-coding RNA, 409 nt
Organism: Gigantopelta aegis
Lineage: Eukaryota; Metazoa; Mollusca; Gastropoda; Neomphalida; Peltospiridae
Exons: 3
Source: RefSeq, a predicted model, not a curated record